UACGUAGGGUGCGAGCGUUGUCCGGAAUUAUUGGGCGUAAAGAGCUCGUAGGCGGCGCGGUAAGUCGGGUGGGAAAUUUCGGAGCUUAACUCCGAAACUGCAUUCGAUACUGCCGUGCUUGAGGACUGGAGAGGAGACUGGAAUUUACGGUGUAGCAGUGAAAUGCGUAGAUAUCGUAAGGAAGACCAGUGGCGAAGGCGAAUCUCUGGACAGUUACUGACACUGAGGCACGAAGGCCAGGGGAGCAAACGGG
This 253-nucleotide ribosomal RNA is filed under the name uncultured bacterium. RNAcentral's name for it is "partial 16S ribosomal RNA". It matches the Rfam family "Bacterial small subunit ribosomal RNA", at positions 524 to 776 of the family's 1533-position model. The record is from RNAcentral.